CAUAGGUUAAUGAGGCGAACCGGGGGAACUGAAACAUCUAAGUACCCCGAGGAAAAGAAAUCAACCGAGAUUCCCCCAGUAGCGGCGAGCGAACGGGGAGGAGCCCAGAGCCUGAAUCAGUGUGUGUGUUAGUGGAAGCGUCUGGAAAGGCGCGCGAUACAGGGUGACAGCCCCGUACACAAAAAUGCACAUGCUGUGAGCUCGAUGAGUAGGGCGGGACACGUGGUAUCCUGUCUGAAUAUGGGGGGACCAUCCUCCAAGGCUAAAUACUCCUGACUGACCGAUAGUGAACCAGUACCGUGAGGGAAAGGCGAAAAGAACCCCGGCGAGGGGAGUGAAAAAGAACCUGAAACCGUGUACGUACAAGCAGUGGGAGCCUCUUUAUGGGGUGACUGCGUACCUUUUGUAUAAUGGGUCAGCGACUUAUAUUCUGUAGCAAGGUUAACCGAAUAGGGGAGCCGAAGGGAAACCGAGUCUUAACUGGGCGUUAAGUUGCAGGGUAUAGACCCGAAACCCGGUGAUCUAGCCAUGGGCAGGUUGAAGGUUGGGUAACACUAACUGGAGGACCGAACCGACUAAUGUUGAAAAAUUAGCGGAUGACUUGUGGCUGGGGGUGAAAGGCCAAUCAAACCGGGAGAUAGCUGGUUCUCCCCGAAAGCUAUUUAGGUAGCGCCUCGUGAAUUCAUCUCCGGGGGUAGAGCACUGUUUCGGCAAGGGGGUCAUCCCGACUUACCAACCCGAUGCAAACUGCGAAUACCGGAGAAUGUUAUCACGGGAGACACACGGCGGGUGCUAACGUCCGUCGUGAAGAGGGAAACAACCCAGACCGCCAGCUAAGGUCCCAAAGUCAUGGUUAAGUGGGAAACGAUGUGGGAAGGCCCAGACAGCCAGGAUGUUGGCUUAGAAGCAGCCAUCAUUUAAAGAAAGCGUAAUAGCUCACUGGUCGAGUCGGCCUGCGCGGAAGAUGUAACGGGGCUAAACCAUGCACCGAAGCUGCGGCAGCGACGCUUAUGCGUUGUUGGGUAGGGGAGCGUUCUGUAAGCCUGUGAAGGUGUACUGUGAGGUAUGCUGGAGGUAUC
Molecule: ribosomal RNA, 1079 nt
Filed under: Escherichia coli
Lineage: Bacteria; Pseudomonadati; Pseudomonadota; Gammaproteobacteria; Enterobacterales; Enterobacteriaceae
Description: partial 23S ribosomal RNA
Rfam family: Bacterial large subunit ribosomal RNA
Source: RNAcentral